Molecule: small nucleolar RNA, 78 nt
Organism: Centropristis striata (black sea bass)
Lineage: Eukaryota; Metazoa; Chordata; Actinopteri; Perciformes; Serranidae
Product: small nucleolar RNA SNORD49
Exons: 1
Source: RefSeq, a predicted model, not a curated record
GUCAGUGAUGAAACUCUGGAAUAGGAAGUGCCGUCCGAUGCGAUAACUGACGAUUUUUUUCAAUCCACUUCUCUGAGA